AUGAUAGAGGCGCGGUUACCAAGAGUACCCUCCGGCCAUCCGGCAGACACCGGGGAGGGGAAAGGGGUCGCCGCCGAAGGGCCGUGUAGCUGUCUGGCGCGCGGUUCCUGGGCCGUCGGAGAAGAUCCGGGGGACUGUCACGAAAGUGGAGCGCUGUC
Molecule: non-coding RNA, 158 nt
Filed under: chicken gut metagenome
Description: Lysine riboswitch
Rfam family: Lysine riboswitch aptamer
About the family: Riboswitches are metabolite binding domains within certain messenger RNAs that serve as precision sensors for their corresponding targets.
Source: RNAcentral